AGGGCACCACCAGGAGUGGAGCCUGCGGCUUAAUUUGACUCAACACGGGAAAACUCACCCGGCCCGGACACUGGAAGGAUUGACAGAUUGAGAGCUCUUUCUUGAUUCAGUGGGUGGUGGUGCAUGGCCGUUCUUAGUUGGUGGAGUGAUUUGUCUGGUUAAUUCCGAUAACGAACGAGACUCUAGCCUACUAAAUAGAUCGUCGGCUUACAAACGCCGGCGAGACUUCUUAGAGGGACAGGCGGUGAUUCAACCGCACGAAACAGAGCAAUAACAGGUCUGUGAUGCCCUUAGAUGUCCGGGGCCGCACGCGCGCUACACUGAAGUGAUCAGCGUGCUUUUUCAACCUACUCUGUCAAGAGUGGGGAACCCAAUGAACCUUCUUCGUGAUUGGGAUAGGGGAUCGUAAUUAUUCCCCUUGAACGAGGAAUUCCCAGUAAGCGCGAGUCAUAAGCUCGCGUUGAUUACGUCCCUGCCCUUUGUACACACCGCCCGUCGCUACUACCGAUUGAAUGUUUU
Molecule: ribosomal RNA, 519 nt
Filed under: uncultured eukaryote
Lineage: Eukaryota
Description: SSU rRNA
Rfam family: Eukaryotic small subunit ribosomal RNA
Source: RNAcentral